UCUACGGGAGGCAGCAGUGAGGAAUAUUGGUCAAUGGUCGGGAGACUGAACCAGCCAAGCCGCGUGAGGGAGGAAGGUACAGAGUAUCGUAAACCUCUUUUGUCAGGGAACAAAGGCGGGGACGUGUCCCCGGAUGAGUGUACCUGAAGAAAAAGCAUCGGCUAACUCCGUGCCAGCAGCCGCGGUAAUACGGAGGAUGCGAGCGUUAUCCGGAUUUGUUGGGUUUAAAGGGUGCGCAGGCGGUCUGUUAAGUCCGCGGUCAAAGCCCGGGGCUCAACCCCGGCCCGCCGUUGACACUGGCAGUCUCGAGUUGGAGAGAAGUAUGCGGAAUGCGCGGUGUAGCGGUGAAAUGCAUAGAUAUCGCGCAGAACUCCGAUUGCGAAGGCAGCAUGCCGGCUCCACACUGACGCUGAGGCACGAAAGCGUGGGUAUCGAACAGGAUUAGAUACCCCUGUAGUC
This 459-nucleotide ribosomal RNA is filed under the name uncultured bacterium. RNAcentral's name for it is "partial 16S ribosomal RNA". It matches the Rfam family "Bacterial small subunit ribosomal RNA", at positions 338 to 795 of the family's 1533-position model. The record is from RNAcentral.